This 253-nucleotide ribosomal RNA is filed under the name uncultured bacterium. Its description in RNAcentral is "partial 16S ribosomal RNA". It matches the Rfam family "Bacterial small subunit ribosomal RNA", at positions 524 to 776 of the family's 1533-position model. The record is from RNAcentral.
UACGUAGGGGGCAAGCGUUGUCCGGAUUUAUUGGGCGUAAAGAGCGUGUAGGCGGCCACACAGGUCUGCUGUGAAAACUCGAGGCUCAACCUCGAGCUGUCGGUGGAAACCGUGUGGCUAGAGUCCGGAAGAGGAGAGUGGAAUUCCCGGUGUAGCGGUGAAAUGCGCAGAUAUCGGGAAGAACACCCGUGGCGAAGGCGGCUCUCUGGGACGGUACUGACGCUGAGACGCGAAAGCGUGGGGAGCAAACAGG